Molecule: ribosomal RNA, 497 nt
Filed under: uncultured bacterium
Lineage: Bacteria
Description: partial 16S ribosomal RNA
Rfam family: Bacterial small subunit ribosomal RNA
Source: RNAcentral
UGGGGGAAUAUUGGACAAUGGGCGCAAGCCUGAUCCAGCCAUGCCGCGUGAGUGAUGAAGGCCCUAGGGUUGUAAAGCUCUUUCACCGGUGAAGAUAAUGACGGUAACCGGAGAAGAAGCCCCGGCUAACUUCGUGCCAGCAGCCGCGGUAAUACGAAGGGGGCUAGCGUUGUUCGGAAUUACUGGGCGUAAAGCGCACGUAGGCGGACAUUUAAGUCAGGGGUGAAAUCCCGGGGGCUCAACCCCGGAACUGCCUCUGAUACUGGGUGUCUAGAGUUCGAGAGAGGUGAGUGGAAUUCCGAGUGUAGAGGUGAAAUUCGUAGAUAUUCGGAGGAACACCAGUGGCGAAGGCGGCUCACUGGCUCGAUACUGACGCUGAGGUGCGAAAGCGUGGGGAGCAAAACAGGAUUAGAUACCCUGGUAGUCCACGCCGUAAACGAUGGAAGCCAGCUGUCGGCAAGUUUACUUGUCGGUGGCGCAGCUAACGCAUUAAGCUU